This 465-nucleotide ribosomal RNA is filed under the name Vreelandella stevensii. RNAcentral's name for it is "partial 16S ribosomal RNA". It matches the Rfam family "Bacterial small subunit ribosomal RNA", at positions 338 to 795 of the family's 1533-position model. The record is from RNAcentral. Lineage: Bacteria; Pseudomonadati; Pseudomonadota; Gammaproteobacteria; Oceanospirillales; Halomonadaceae.
CCUAGGGGAGGCUGCAGUGGGGAAUAUUGGACAAUGGGCGAAAGCCUGAUCCAGCCAUGCCGCGUGUGUGAAGAAGGCCUUCGGGUUGUAAAGCACUUUCAGUGGGGAAGAAAGCCUUGGGGCUAAUACCCUCGAGGAAGGACAUCACCCACAGAAGAAGCACCGGCUAACUCCGUGCCAGCAGCCGCGGUAAUACGGAGGGUGCGAGCGUUAAUCGGAAUUACUGGGCGUAAAGCGCGCGUAGGCGGUCUGAUAAGCCGGUUGUGAAAGCCCCGGGCUCAACCUGGGAACGGCAUCCGGAACUGUCAGGCUAGAGUGCAGGAGAGGAAGGUAGAAUUCCCGGUGUAGCGGUGAAAUGCGUAGAGAUCGGGAGGAAUACCAGUGGCGAAGGCGGCCUUCUGGACUGACACUGACGCUGAGGUGCGAAAGCGUGGGUAGCAAACAGGAUUAGAUACCCGAGUAGUC